RNAcentral lists this non-coding RNA (32 nucleotides) under Geobacter sulfurreducens KN400. The record is from RNAcentral. Lineage: Bacteria; Pseudomonadati; Thermodesulfobacteriota; Desulfuromonadia; Geobacterales; Geobacteraceae.
AUCGCCAUGAAGGUUACGUCCACCGGUAGCCA